This 467-nucleotide ribosomal RNA is filed under the name uncultured bacterium. RNAcentral describes it as "partial 16S ribosomal RNA". It matches the Rfam family "Bacterial small subunit ribosomal RNA", at positions 29 to 507 of the family's 1533-position model. The record is from RNAcentral.
ACGAACGCUGGCGGCGUGCUUCACCCAUGCCAGUCGCACGGAAAGGCCCUGCUUUUGUGGGGUGCUCGAGUGGCGAACGGGUGAGUAACACGUGAGUAACCUGCCCUUGACUUUGGGAUAACUUCAGGAAACUGGGGCUAAUACCGGAUAGGAGCUCCUGCUGCAUGGUGGGGGUUGGAAAGUUUCGGCGGUUGGGGAUGGACUCGCGGCUUAUCAGCCUGUUGGUGGGGUAGUGGCUUACCAAGGCUUUGACGGGUAGCCGGCCUGAGAGGGUGACCGGCCACAUUGGGACUGAGAUACGGCCCAGACUCCUACGGGAGGCAGCAGUGGGGAAUAUUGCACAAUGGGCGGAAGCCUGAUGCAGCAACGCCGCGUGCGGGAUGACGGCCUUCGGGUUGUAAACCGCUUUCGCCUGUGACGAAGCGUGAGUGACGGUAAUGGGUAAAGAAGCACCGGCUAACUACGUG